ACUCCUACGGGAGGCAGCAGUGGGGAAUUUUGGACAAUGGGCGAAAGCCUGAUCCAGCAAUGCCGCGUGAGUGAAGAAGGCCUUCGGGUUGUAAAGCUCUUUUGUCAGGGAAGAAACGGUGAAAGCUAAUAUCUUUUGCUAAUGACGGUACCUGAAGAAUAAGCACCGGCUAACUACGUGCCAGCAGCCGCGGUAAUACGUAGGGUGCAAGCGUUAAUCGGAAUUACUGGGCGUAAAGCGUGCGCAGGCGGUUUUGUAAGUCUGAUGUGAAAUCCCCGGGCUCAACCUGGGAAUUGCAUUGGAGACUGAAAGGCGAGAAUCUGGCAGAGGGGGGUAGAAUUCCACGUGUAGCAGUGAAAUGCGUAGAUAUGUGGAGGAACACCGAUGGCGAAGGCAGCCCCCUGGGUCAAGAUUGACGCUCAUGCACGAAAGCGUGGGGAGCAAACAGGAUUAGAAACCCCAGUAGUCCCAUG
This 473-nucleotide ribosomal RNA is filed under the name uncultured organism. Its description in RNAcentral is "partial 16S ribosomal RNA". It matches the Rfam family "Bacterial small subunit ribosomal RNA", at positions 335 to 799 of the family's 1533-position model. The record is from RNAcentral.